AAAUUUCCAUUAAUCUUCUUAACACAAAGACAUGCUCUAUUGUAAAUCUACAAGGCCUAAAGUAAAACUAGUUCUCUGAUAUUUUAAUAGUGUCCCUAGCAUCAACAAUAUCUUCAAUUUUUUUGAAAUCAAUUCAAUUUCACAUCAACCAAAUAACAAACAUACAAUACAUUUUAUUAGGCAUACAACUCUGCUAGUAAUCAUAACUGACAUAAGAGCAAGGGUGUAAAUGAACUAGUGCAAUCAGUGAACAACUCGUGAACAUGCUCGAUAAAAGCUUGUUUAUUAAGUUAAAUGAACAAGUUUGAAUAAUAAAUUUAAUAUUAAUUCAAACUUUGAUCUAAAUUAAUAAACAAAUUAACAUUAGCAUAAGCAAGCGUAGCUUGAAUAUGUUCAUGAACUCAU
RNAcentral lists this unclassified non-coding RNA (405 nucleotides) under Hevea brasiliensis (rubber tree). The record is from RNAcentral. Lineage: Eukaryota; Viridiplantae; Streptophyta; Magnoliopsida; Malpighiales; Euphorbiaceae.